Non-coding RNA from Crucibulum laeve, 100 nucleotides. Lineage: Eukaryota; Fungi; Basidiomycota; Agaricomycetes; Agaricales; Nidulariaceae. The record is from the annotation of a GenBank genome assembly.
GGUUCUGUAGUGUAUUGGCUUAUCACUCGAGAUUUUGAUCUGUGGCAAUGUGAAGUAUUUCAGCUUUCUCGCAACCCCGGUUCGAACCCGGGUAGGACCU